Molecule: ribosomal RNA, 255 nt
Filed under: uncultured bacterium
Lineage: Bacteria
Description: partial 16S ribosomal RNA
Rfam family: Bacterial small subunit ribosomal RNA
Source: RNAcentral
UACGGAAGGGGCGAGCGUUGUUCGGAAUCAUUGGGCGUAAAGGGCGCGUAGGUGGUUCUGUAUGUCUACCGUGAAAGCGUACGGCUCAACCGUAUUUUGUCGGUAGAAACUGCAGGACUUGAGGCUGGGAGGGGCUGGUGGAAUUCCCUGUGUAGCGGUGAAAUGCGUAGAGAUGGGGGGAGAACACUCGUGGCGAAGGCGGCCAGCUAGACCAGUUCUGACACUGAGGCGCGACAGCGUGGGGAGCAAACACGG